UACGUAGGGUGCGAGCGUUGCCCGGAUUUAUUGGGCGUAAAGGGCGCGUAGGCGGCUCGGCACGUCCGUUGUGAAAUCGCCCGGCUCAACUGGGCGGGGUCAGCGGAUACGGCCGAGCUUGAGCAAGCUAGGGGGCAAUGGAAUUCCCGGUGUAGUGGUGGAAUGCGUAGAUAUCGGGAGGAACACCAGUGGCGAAGGCGGGAUCCUGGGCCAGUACUGACGCUGAGGAGCGAAAGCGUGGGGAGCAAACAGG
This 253-nucleotide ribosomal RNA is filed under the name uncultured bacterium. RNAcentral's name for it is "partial 16S ribosomal RNA". It matches the Rfam family "Bacterial small subunit ribosomal RNA", at positions 524 to 776 of the family's 1533-position model. The record is from RNAcentral.